UUGAGGAAGAGAAAGUAAAUAACGAUUGCGAAAGUAGUGGCGAGCGAAAUCGCAACAGCCCAAACCUUUUAAGUUUUUGCCUAUUAAUUUAGGCAAAUAAGUUGAUAGACGAAUACUUAUAAGGGGUUGUGAUAUUACAUAUGACCAAGUCAGAGAAUUUGAUUCAUUCAAAUAAUCUGAUUUGCGAUAACUGGCUAUCAACAGUUAGUAAGGUAAGAAAUCGGCGUGGUUAGUAGAAUAGUUUGAAUGACUAGCCAAAGAACGUGAAAGCCGUGUAUAUGAAAACGACGCUGACCUUAUAUAUGUUUUAUCGAGUAGGACGGGGCACGAGAAACCCUGUUUGAAUCUGGCUGGACCACCAGCCAAGGCUAAAUAUAAUAUACGAUCGAUAGUGAACUAGUACAGUGAUGGAAAGGUGAAAAGAACCCCGGGAGGGGAGUGAAAUAGAUCCUGAAAUUUAGUGCCUACAAGGAGUCGGAGCCGGCUUGUCCGGUGACGGCGUGCUUUUUGUAGAACGAUCCAGCGAGUUAAUUUUUACAGCGAGGUUAAGUCAAUUGACGGAGCCACAGUGAAAGCGAGCCUGAAUAGGGCGAUUAAGUUGUAAGGAUUAGACCCGAAACCGGGUGACCUAACCAUGAGCAGGUUGAAGCCACUGUAACAGGUGGUGGAGGACCGAACCAGGAUACGCAGCAAAGUGUUUGGAUGACUUGUGGUUAGCGGUGAAAUGCCAAUCGAACUCGGAGAUAGCUGGUUCUCCUCGAAAUAGCUUUAGGGCUAGCGUCGUGUUAGUAGCACAUGGGGGUAGAGCUCUGUAAAGGACUGGGGCGGGCAACUGUACCCACCCUUAACAAACUACGAAUACCAUGUGUGUAAUCACGGCAGUUAGAACAUCGGUGCUAAGAUCGGUGCUCAAAAGGGAAACAGCCCAGACCAUCAUCUAAGGUCCCUAAAUUAACGUUCAGUGGGAAACAAGGUGAGAUUUCUUAAACAGCUAGGAUGUUGGCUUAGAAGCAGCCAUUCAUUUAAAGAGUGCGUAACAGCUCACUAGUCAAGAGAUCUUGCGUGGAAAAUGUAACGGGGCUAAAACGUUAUACCGAAGAUAUGGAUUACACGCUAAGUACAAAGUUAAAGUUGUGUUACAAUCAAUUUAUGGAAAAUGAGAUUUACAUAGGUAGCGUUUAUAAACACUAUAAAGGCAAUAAGUAUGUUGUUGUAAGUAUAGCUGUUAAUACUGAGACGCUUGAAGAGCUUGUAGUUUAUCGAGCCAUUUAUGGCGACGGAGAAUUAUGGGCUAGACCUAAGAAAAUGUUUUUAGAUAAUAUUGAAAAGAACGGAAAGAUCAUUCCAAGGUUUAAAUUGAUUAAGAAACUUUGAUUUUGUUCUUAGUGUGUAGUGGUAGAGGAGCGUUCCUAUCAGCGGUGAAGUCGAAUCGGAAGGUUCGGUGGAGCGGUAGGAAGUGAGAAUGCUGGAAUGAGUAACCAUAAGAGAGGUGAGAAUCCUCUCGGCCGUAAGAGCAAGGUUUCCUGAGCCAUGGUAAUCAUCUCAGGGUUAGUCGGGCCUAAGCCGAGGCGCAGAGCGUAGGCGAUGGACAUCAGGUUAAUAUUCCUGAACCGGUUAAGUUUUGUACACUGUUCACGGGGAAGUAAUCGAAGCGGAUUCAUGGUUUAUCCGUCCAACCGAGCGGGAACGCAAAGGGAGUGAAAGUGAUUCUUCGGAGUCGCGAUUUUGGUGAAAGCCCUGGCUAGAAAAGCAGGUGUACGCGUGGACUUAGCCGCCCGUACCGCAAACCAACACAGGUGCUCGAGUCGAGUAGACUCAGGCUUACGAGCGAACCUUCGCUAAGGAACUCGGCAAUACAGCGACCGUAACUUCGGGAUAAGGUCUGCCCCCACUUCGGUGGAUAUCAGCCGCGUUCACUCAGUGAAUAUUAGGUUAAAGAGUACAUUUUUAAUCACAAAACGAAUUUUCUGAGAUAGAGCAAACGAAUUGUUCUUUUGAACGCGAACCUCUGACGUCUAACGAUGUGGGGGCCGCAGCAAAAGAGCCCACGGAACUGUUUAUCAAAAACACAGGUCUCUGCUAACACGAAAGUGGAUGUAUAGGGGCUGACUCCUGCCCAAUGCUGGAAGGUUAAGGGGAGCGCUUCACGGUGCGAACUGAAGCCCUAGUCAAUGGCGGCGGUAACUAUAACCGUCCUAAGGUAGCGAAAUUCCUUGUCAGGUAAGUUCUGACCCGCACGAAUGGAGUAAUCAUGUGGGCACUGUCUCAGCGAAGGACUCGGUGAAAGUGCAUUGGCGGUAAAGAUGCCGUCUGUCCGUACCAGGACGAAAAGACCCCAUGGAGCUUUACUACAGCUU
Molecule: ribosomal RNA, 2357 nt
Filed under: human gut metagenome
Description: bacterial LSU rRNA
Rfam family: Bacterial large subunit ribosomal RNA
Source: RNAcentral